AUUGAACGCUGGCGGCAUGCUUUACACAUGCAAGUCGAACGGCAGCGCGGGCUUCGGCCUGGCGGCGAGUGGCGAACGGGUGAGUAAUGCAUCGGAACGUGCCCAGUAGUGGGGGAUAGCCCGGCGAAAGCCGGGUUAAUACCGCAUACGACCUGAGGGUGAAAGCGGGGGACCGAAAGGCCUCGCGCUAUUGGAGCGGCCGAUGUCGGAUUAGCUAGUUGGUGGGGUAAAGGCUUACCAAGGCGACGAUCCGUAGCUGGUCUGAGAGGACGACCAGCCACACUGGGACUGAGACACGGCCCAGACUCCUACGGGAGGCAGCAGUGGGGAAUUUUGGACAAUGGGGGCAACCCUGAUCCAGCCAUGCCGCGUGCGGGAAGAAGGCCUUCGGGUUGUAAACCGCUUUUGUUCGGGAAGAAAUCCUCUGGGCUAAUACCCCGGGGGGAUGACGGUACCGGAAGAAUAAGCACCGGCUAACUACGUG
This 484-nucleotide ribosomal RNA is filed under the name uncultured bacterium. RNAcentral describes it as "partial 16S ribosomal RNA". It matches the Rfam family "Bacterial small subunit ribosomal RNA", at positions 28 to 507 of the family's 1533-position model. The record is from RNAcentral.